This 480-nucleotide ribosomal RNA is filed under the name uncultured bacterium. Its description in RNAcentral is "partial 16S ribosomal RNA". It matches the Rfam family "Bacterial small subunit ribosomal RNA", at positions 28 to 507 of the family's 1533-position model. The record is from RNAcentral.
GACGAACGCUGGCGGCGUGCUUAACACAUGCAAGUCGAACGAUGAAGAAAAGAAUUGAAGCUUCGGCAGAAAUUCAUUUCGGAUUAGUGGCCGACGGGUGAGUAACGCGUGAGCAACCUACCUCUUACAAAGGGAUAGCCUCGGGAAACCGGGAUUAAUACCAUAUAACAUUGCGACGAAGCAUUUCGAUGCAAUCAAAGCUACGGCGGUAAGAGAUGGGCUCGCGUCCCAUUAACCAGAUGGUGAGGUAACGGCUCACCAUAGUAACGAUGGGUAACCGGCCUGAGAGGGUGAACGGUCACACUGGAACUGAGACACGGUCCAGACUCCUACGGGAGGCAGCAGUGGGGAAUAUUGCACGAUGGAGGGAACUCUGAUGCAGCGACGCCGCGUGAGUGAUGAAGGAAUUCAUGUCGUAAAACUCUGUUCUAUGGGAAGAAAAGGACUGUACCAUAGGAGAAAGCUCCGGCUAAAUACGUG